RNAcentral lists this ribosomal RNA (601 nucleotides) under Neodidymelliopsis farokhinejadii. RNAcentral describes it as "eukaryotic LSU rRNA". It matches the Rfam family "Eukaryotic large subunit ribosomal RNA", at positions 1 to 604 of the family's 3401-position model. Lineage: Eukaryota; Fungi; Ascomycota; Dothideomycetes; Pleosporales; Didymellaceae. The record is from RNAcentral.
UUGACCUCGGAUCAGGUAGGGAUACCCGCUGAACUUAAGCAUAUCAAUAAGCGGAGGAAAAGAAACCAACAGGGAUUGCCCUAGUAACGGCGAGUGAAGCGGCAACAGCUCAAAUUUGAAAUCUGGCGUCUUUGGCGUCCGAGUUGUAAUUUGCAGAGGGCGCUUUGGCAUCGGCAGCGGUCCAAGUUCCUUGGAACAGGACGUCACAGAGGGUGAGAAUCCCGUACGUGAUCGCUAGCCUUUACCGUGUAAAGCCCCUUCGACGAGUCGAGUUGUUUGGGAAUGCAGCUCUAAAUGGGAGGUAAAUUUCUUCUAAAGCUAAAUACUGGCCAGAGACCGAUAGCGCACAAGUAGAGUGAUCGAAAGAUGAAAAGCACUUUGGAAAGAGAGUUAAAAAGCACGUGAAAUUGUUGAAAGGGAAGCGCUUGCAGCCAGACUUGCCUGUAGUUGCUCAUCCGGGUUUCUACCCGGUGCACUCUUCUAUAGGCAGGCCAGCAUCAGUUUGGGCGGUUGGAUAAAGGUCUCUGUCAUGUACCUCUCUUCGGGGAGAACUUAUAGGGGAGACGACAUGCAACCAGCCCGGACUGAGGUCCGCGCAUCU